RNAcentral lists this ribosomal RNA (422 nucleotides) under uncultured archaeon. Its description in RNAcentral is "partial 16S ribosomal RNA". It matches the Rfam family "Archaeal small subunit ribosomal RNA", at positions 323 to 746 of the family's 1478-position model. The record is from RNAcentral.
CUACGGGUGGCAGCAGGCGCGAAACUACUACAAUGCACGAAAGUGUGAUAGGGGAAUCCCUGGUGCUUAUACUUUGUAUAGGCUUUUAUUAAAGGUAAAUUCUUUGGUAAAUAAGUGAUGGGCAAGACCGGUGCCAGCAGCCGCGGUAAUACCGGCGUCACAAGUGGCAAUCGCAUUUAUUGGGUCUAAAGCGUUCGUAGCCGGUUUAAUAAAUCUUUUGUGAAAUUGUCGAGCUCAACUUGACAACCUGCAGAAGACACUAUUAAACUAGAGACUGGGAGGGGUUAGAAGUAUUUCAUGAGGAGCGGUAAAAUGUUGUAAUCCAUGAAAGACUGCCAAUGGCAAAGGCAUCUAACCAGAACGGAUCUGACGGUGAGGAACGAAGGCCAGGGUAGCGAACCGGAUUAGAUACCCUCGUAGUC